CCUACGGGCGGCUGCAGUGAGGAAUAUUGGUCAAUGGGCGUAAGCCUGACCCAGCCAUCCCGCGUGUAGGAAGAAGGCGCUAUGCGUCGUAAACUUCUUUUCCAGAGGAAUAAAAUUUCGUACGUGUACGGAACUGAAGGUACUUUGGGAAUAAGCAUCGGCUAACUCCGUGCCAGCAGCCGCGGUAAUACGGAGGAUGCGAGCGUUAUCCGGUUUUAUUGGGUUUAAGGGGGAUGUAGACGUCUUAAUAGAAAACCUUCAGCUUAACUGGAGAACUGCCAUUGAUACUGUUAGUCUUGAGUACGGUCAAGGUAGGCGGAAUGUGUAAUGUAGCGGUGAAAUGCUUAGAUAUUACACAGAACACCGAUUGCGAAGGCAGCUUACUGGGCCAUGACUGACGCUGAUGCACGAAAGCAUGGGGAGCGAACAGGAUUAGAUACCCCGGUAGUC
RNAcentral lists this ribosomal RNA (450 nucleotides) under uncultured bacterium. Its description in RNAcentral is "partial 16S ribosomal RNA". It matches the Rfam family "Bacterial small subunit ribosomal RNA", at positions 338 to 795 of the family's 1533-position model. The record is from RNAcentral.